Molecule: non-coding RNA, 16204 nt
Organism: Callithrix jacchus (white-tufted-ear marmoset)
Lineage: Eukaryota; Metazoa; Chordata; Mammalia; Primates; Cebidae
Source: RefSeq, a predicted model, not a curated record
AUAUCUAUAUUUUAAAUGUUAUAAUUUAUUUAUAAUUAUAUCAUAACUUAUUUAUAAGGUACGAUUGAUUAUAUUUAAUAUUUAUAUUAUUUUACAUUUAUAAUUUAUUUUACUUAUUUCUAAUAUUUUAAUUCAUUAUAAGUGUUUAGAAUUUGUUUUAUAAUAUUUAUAAAUUCCCCUCCCAAUGUUUAUAUACUUACCACUAUUCACACCCCUCCCUUUUGAAAUAACUACAAAAAGCCUCCUACUUGUCUUCCCCACUUUGAAGCAAAAACAAUGACUGCCAGAAAAGUUCCAUGUAGGAAGUUAAAAAAACAUCAAUCAGUUUCACAGACAGCAACUGAAAGAUCUAAAAAAGCCCUUACUUAAAGGCAUAUGCUUUCCUUUCAGCACAACUCAGCUCUUCCACUGGGGAACUUCAUAAAAUACUACACACAUCAAGAAAAAAGUAUACCUCUUGGCAGUAAAACUUUGUCAACUGCUUCAAAACAAUCCUGUUGAAAUGAUGUGGGGCUACUUUGGGCAUUUUUCUGAAGCUCCAAUAUCCUGGCGACUCAUUAUUAGCAUGACACUAAGCUAGAAGUGGGGGCUAAAGAAGCUGAGAUUUUUUUUUUGAAAUAAAUAAAUGUUCAAAUCUCUCACUGAAAACCUGGAACAUGAUUUUGGGAAAGCAGAUGUGUCAGUGUAUGAGACUUUACAAUAAUUAAACCCCUUGACUGAAAAUUAGAAAUGGAAAAUAGCCGGGUGCAGUGGCUCACACCUGUAAUCCCAGCACUUUGGGAGGCAGAGGUGGGCGUAUCACCUCAAAGUCAGGAGUUCGAGACCAGUCUGGCUAACAUGGUGAACCCCCAUCUCUACUGAAAAUGCAAAAAUUAGCCUGUGUGGUGGCAGGCACCUGUAAUCCCAGCUGCUCCAGAAGCUGAGGCAAGAGAAUCACUUGAACUUGGGAAGCGGAGCUUGCAGUGAGCAGAGAUUGCGUCAGUGCACUCCAGCCUGGACAGUAGAGCAAGACUCCAUCUCAAAAAAAAGAAUGGAAAAUAUAAACAAAGAUAAACAAAGUUAAACAGCCCAAAUAUCAUUAUGUUCAUAACCAAGAAUGUAAUGCAGCCACUAAGCCAUCCAUAAAAACUGAAAUUAUGUGAAAAAAAUGUUCAAAGUGUAAUCAGAAAAAGCAGUUACCAAAAUCUAGUAUAAUCUUCAUGUUCCCUCACUACUGGAUCAUUCCUGUGAGUAAACACACCUGCUUUAUUAUUUCCCAACUUGAAAGAAAAAUUCCUUAACCCAAACAUCCUCCUCCUGGAUUAUUUCUCUGCUCCAGUUUCUCCCAUUUACUGUAACUUUUCUUGAAACAGUUGUCCAUACUCGGUUUGUUUCCUGAACUAAUUACUUUUCUUUUUCUUUUAUUAGAGACAGUGCCUCAAUCUGUUGCCCAGGCUGGCAUGCAGUGGCAUGAUUAUGGCUCACUGCAGCCUAGAACUCUCAGGCUCAAGCAAUCCUCCCAUCUCCCAAGUAGCUUGAAGUAUAGGUGUGUGCCACCAUGCCUAGCUGUACUUUUUACUUUUUCUAGAGAUGAGAUCUCACUAUGUUGCCCAGGCUGGUCUCAGACUCCUGGCCUCAAGCUAUCCUCCUGUCUCAGCCUCCCAAAGUGCUGGGAUUACCCAUGUGAGCCACUGCACCCAGUCCUCCUGCACAGACUUCAAUUAAGGUUUUGCCCUCAUGAUUCCACCAAAAUCCGUGAUUCCUAAGUAGUCAAAUCCACUGAUCAAUUCUCAAACCUCAUAUGAUGCACCUCACCAGCUGUAUUUGAUACAAGUGAUCUCCUCCUUGGCUGUUUUCUUCUGGACUUCUAGAGCACACCUUUGUGUCAGUUCUCUGAACUGGUCAAGCCUCCUUACUCCCCUUUGGUGCUUGCUCUUCAACUUCCUGCCAUCUAGACACUGGGAGUACCCCAGGACUUGGACUGCAGACAUUUUUCUUUCUAACAUAUUCUGCAUCAUCUAACGGCACCUAGUCUCAUGACUUUAAAUGCCAUCUGUGUGGCUACGACAUUAGUCUACUCUCUCCCCAACCUACGUGACGUCUCCAUUUGUAACCUCCAUUUUCCUCAAUUAAAACUGAUUCUCUUACAGUCUUCCCUCUCUCAAUAAAUGGUUUUCAAGUACUUAGGCCAAAAAUUUUGGAUUCAUUCUUGUCUCUCUGGUUUUUAAAAUCCACUUCCAUUUCAUCAGCAGAUGCUUUGGAUUUUACCUUCAAAAUGCCCCAGAUCUUCCCACCCUUCUCACCUUUAUUUCUAUUCCUCAGGUUCUAGGUCAUCUUCUCACAUCUGGCUUCUGGCAUCCCCACGCUGUCUUUUCGCCACUGUAACCAUGGUCAGCUUUGUAAAAGUGGGGGAAAGAAAAUCAAUUCAGAGUGACUGGAAGACAUUCAGCUUUAUCUAAGAGUGAUCGAUGGCAAAAAUUAUCAUCUUUGUUUUUCUCUUGUUCCAAGAAGCUGAGCUUCAGAAAAAAAGCAGAUGGUGAGGAAAAUAUAAGGUAAUAGCACCUCAGGGGCAAGGGUUCGGAAGGGCUUUGUGGCUCAUUCAAGAGUAACAUUCAGGAUGCGACUGGGGAAAUAAUGCGUAUGUGAGCAGAAAGAUAGAUUUACAAAGAAGCUGAAGCAAAUAGGCAUUUGACGAUUCUUUAUGUAAUAUGCAUAUUCAAAAACUAAGGUUUAGCCAUGAGUCUUCCAUUAAAAUAAUCACUUGUGUGCUACAUGAUUGUUCAUUGGCCCAGUAGCUGCCUUGUAAUUAGGAGAUAGGUGUUCUGAUUAUACUUUUUAUUUUACCAAAGGUAAAGAACAGAAUAUCUUGGAAGACAAGUUAGAAACAUGAUGUAUUUUACAUUUCUCAUGAUUUCCUCUUAUACAUGCAAAAAUGUAUACUUUGUUAUUGCUGAUGAAUCUUUUUAAUUCUAUUUCAUAUGAUGAAAAAAAUAUUCAUUUAAGUAUUUGCAAUGGAUUGAAUGUUUGUCUCCCUCUAAAAUGCAUAUGUUGACGUCGUUUUUUGUUUGUUUUUGUUUUUUUGAGAUGGAGUGUCCCUCUGUUGUCCAGGCUAGAGUGCAGUGGUGCAAUCCUGGCUCACUGCAACCUCCGGCUCCCGCGUUCAGGUGCUUCUUCCUGCCUUAGCCUCCCAAGUAGCUGGAACUACAGGUGCACGCCACCAUGCCGCGCUAACUUUUGUAUUUUUAGUAGAGACAGGGUUUCUUCAUGUUGGUCAGGCUGGCCUCAAGUAAGCCACCCAUCUCUACGUCCCAAAGUGCUGGGAUCACAGGUGUGAGCCACCGUGCCUGGCCAUAUGUUAAUGAACUCUCAACCCCUAAUGUGAUGUAGUAUUAGGAAGUGGGGCCUUUGAGAGGAAAUUAGAUAAUAGUAGAGGCCUCACGAAUGGGAUUAGUACUCUUAUAAAAGAAACCCCAGAGAGCUUUCUCACCUUCUUUCCCUCAUAUGAGGGCACAAUGAAAAGAAAGUAGCCUGCAACUCAGAAGAGGACCUUACAAAGAACCUAACCUGCUGGCACCCUGAUCAUGAAUUUCUAGCCUUCAGGACGAUGGAAAAUACGUUUCUGUUGUUUGUAAGCUACACAACCCAUGGUACACUGUUAUAACGGCUUGAAUUGACUAAGACAGUAUUGAAAUAAAGGUUGUCAAUCUAAAGGGAAAAAAUAACAAUCUUAGCCAAGUUAAACCAAGGGUUUCUUAUUGAGAAAUUAGGUGUCAACCCUCAUGUGCCAGUCUCUUGUGACAUGUGCUUGACUUAAACCUCUCGCUAGUGACAAAGAGUGGCUCCCUCUACCACUACUGCAAGCCAGGCAACAUUAGGGAAUUUUUGUUGCUGCAAUGUGGAGUCACAGCACCUUGUUAGGCAUUCAGCAAUAAAAAUGUAUUUCCUUGUGCAUGUUACCAAGUCAGACCCUGGAAAUUAUAUCAACCAAAUUAUGGGGGUUGAGUGUAAUUCACCUUUAGACAAUGUUGAAAGAAAAACUUUAGACAAAUUUAAUCUAACAAUUUAUUAAUAUUUCAGCAAAAAACCAUUCAUGUAUCAGGCAGCACUCAGAACUGGAGAGAUUGAGAGCACGCCACUCUGCCACACAGGCAGUAAUUACAGAUAGAAAACAGAAGUAAAGUAUGGAAUUAGCUUGACUGGGUACAGGUAGGUAUUUGUUGUAUUUGGACGUGGUCUGAUCAGUUGGCAGCCUUUGACUGACUGACAUGCAGCUGCUAGCUAAUAGCUGAGACCCAAAAAAUACUCUUCAAUUAGGUUUUGGUUAAUUUACAUUUAUACACAGAGAGCAGAAUAUCUUGGGGGACAAGUUAGAAACAUGAUGCAUUUUACAUUUCAUGUAAGGUUGCAGUUCCUUGCAUAGAAACUCAAAGUACUGAAAUCGCUUCAGGCCAUGGCCUCGUGUGUAUUUAAUUUAACAGCAGAUAGGCUUUGGUACUUCAGAGUCCCAUGAACAGGCAUAGGUGCAAUGAACAAGGCAUGGUUUGCUCUUGGGUACAGUGAGAGAACAACUUUCUUGAGAUGUGCUUUGUGUGUGUGCAUUAGCGUGUGUGGUGCUGUCUCAUCCAAUCACUAACUCUCCACGGAAGGGUCACAGGUUGUUCAAUUAAGGAGAUUAUAGCUAAGUAUGAACUGUUGGUGGCCACAAGUCCAUGUGCUUGCUCUUGGGGAAGGGGAAAAGAUACCAAGAAUGACUCUGUUGAAGGUUGUGAAAGGAAAUCCAGUCUUUUCAGACAGAAAUGAGUACUCGACAAGGAAAAGGGAAAUCAAAUCAAGGUGAAAGAACAUGAUAACUUCAAGAAAGAGAAGGCUCUUUGUUAAGUUACACCUUCAGGGCAAUGUAUCAUCAGGCAUGAGGCUCUGUCUUCAGAGGUGAUUAGAACUUCCAAGGGGAAAAUAAGAAUAUUUAAAAGAAGUGGUACGGAGGGCUUCUGUUACAGAUGAUGGAGGAGGAACAAAUGUGUCAAGGCCGCUGGUGAUUCAUGAUGGAUGGUUUCAGACAGUCUGCACUGGCCGGAUAAGGGCCACAGGAGAACACUGGGCUCAACUUCCUCCCUUAAUACAUGAAUAACACAAGGCCUGAAGGAGUCAUAUAAGGUAAGUGGGACCAAAGUCUUAAUGGGUGCUAACUCUUCUUAAUAACACUGCUUUGGUUUCACCAUGGCACUCAGGAGGGAGCUAUUUUAAAGGAGUAUCUAGCUUUGGGAAGGAAUACCACAUUCUAUCUGCAAAAUAUUCCUAUAGCAUGUAAGAAUCACAGAUCAUUUGCUGAGCCCUUAUGACUACCAGGCACAGUUAUGUGAACAUUUAUACAUAUUCUUUAAUUUUAUUUUUACAACAAACUUAUGAGGGAUUACUGUUAUUUUAUACUAUACGCCAUAAUGCUUUAUAGCAUAUUUUCCUACUAUUAUUAUCUCCCGGUUACAAAUGUGGAAACCGGGGCACAGACCAGGAGCUAGGCAUAGAAGGAAUUCAUUUUGUGCAUCAUCUUCGAGUAUAAGAGAAGGUUAAAGUAUUUUUGCAACAAACAGAAAUUAACAUUUUAAAGUGUUUGAUCACCCCAUGGGAAUCACAUUUAUGAGGAAUCAUAGUGAUAAAUUACCAUGAACCUCUCCAGGACCCUCUAACACUCUGCCUACCUCUAUUAUGGUACUUACCUGCCACACUGCAAUUUUCUCCUUUCUCAUCUCUUCCUUUGUGAGACUAGACGAUUUGAGGACAUGGAAUCCAUUUUCAUUUCUAUAUCCAGCACGGGCCACAGUGCCUGGAACAUUGUAGGUGUGCAGAAUGUGUUUGCUCAGUGGUUUCAUUUACUCCACUCUGUGAUCAUUCCAGGAUAACACUGUUUAUUUUUCCCAGCCUUAUCCUUACUCCCACAUGCAGGAUGGAUGGGGAAGCUGAUUGCUCUAUGUAGAAUGAUUUGACCAAAGUGACGUCUUGUGUUCUAGAAGAAUAUCCUAUGUGUCCCAGGAAAUCAAGUUAGCCAGAUUUCAAAAAAGAAAGCCAAGUUCCAAAGGUGGAGAUGUUGUUAGAGACAAGAGUUUAGAACUUGACUACCUCUAGCACAUUCUGCAGGGCUCAUUUCAUGGUGCAUUUCCUCUGAGACCCUAUCCUUACUCACAUGGAUUAGAUUCAGAGGCCUUCCUCCAAGUUCUCACAAGACUGUUUUUUCUUCGCUUAGCAUUGUAUGGUAAUUGUCUGUUAAUUUGUUUUUCUGUCCUCAUCUGCCAUUAGACUUGGGUUCCUUGAAUGAGAGAACUAUAUGUCAGUCAUAUCUCAGGGAUCUAGCACAAUGUUGGCACAUAAUAUAUGCUCAAGAAAUACUUGUUAUAUCAGGGAAUGAAUGAACCAAGAGAAAAGAGACUCAGUGAAAGCAGGCUGAGAUCAAAUGGGAUUAGAGACAGAACACAGUGCGUCAAAAACGCUGUCUUGAACACAAGCUGAUAUUUGUGAUUUCCUUUCCAGGGGACAUUGUAUAUCAGCCUAGCUUAACAACCAGAGGGGAGGCCGGGCAUGGUGGCUCAAGCCUGUAAUCCUAACACUUUAUAAGGCCAAGGCAGGCAGAUCACCUGAGGGCAGGAGUUCGAGACCAGCCUGGCCAAUAUGAUGAAACCUCGUAUCUAUGAAAAAUACAAAAAUUAGCCAGGUAUGGUGGCAGGAGCCUAUAGUCCCAGCUACUUGGAAGGCUAAGGCAGGAAAAUCACUUGAACCCAGGAGGUGGAUGUUGCUGUGAGUUGAGAUUGCACCACUGCAUUUCAGCAUGAGUGACAGAGUGAGACUCUGUCUCAAAAAAAAAAAAAAUUAAAAUUAAAAUAGAAAAAUAAAAUAACCAGAGGAGAGAUGGGCAACUCAUCCCAGGUUUGGGACCUCACCAGUUCUCCCAGUGAAAUUCCUUAAUGUGCUCUCAUGGUUUCCAAAUUUAUUUCAGUCCAAAAUUAUCACAAUGCAGCUCAAUCUGUAAAAUGGAUGAAAGCAGAGUUUUUCUAGUUGAAGUGGGUCAGAGGACUCAGACUCCACCCGUUGGCCCUUUUCUGCUAUCAGCCCACUUCUUCCCCCCACCCCUUCCAAUUCAGCAGCACCCAAAAGUGCUUCAUAGAAGCCUAGUUUUCAAACCAAUCUUGUAAAGCUUAAGACAUGAUAGAAGGAGCCACGACUGCUCUUCUGGUCUGUUUUCUCUAGCGGCAGUGGGCAUUGGAGCUGAUGGUCGGCAUGCAGCACAGAGCAGGUGGUCUCAUGACUUCCUUGGCCAGUUUACAUAAGAUUGUUGCAUGUCAUCUCCAUUGUUGCUUCAUUCUGUGUCUUCUCAGCUCUGCUUUCUAUUCAGCCAUUUGCUGUGGCUGAUAGCUUCAUGCAAGUGUAGCCAGGCAAGACCUCCCCAGCUGCACUGCCCAUCUCUUGCUUUCUGUCUCUGGGCUUCUCUCCAGCCCCAGCCUAUGAAAGUCCACUCAGCCAUCACGUGCUCAAACCUGGAAUCAAAUCAGGGAAAUCCUUGACCCAUGGAGAAUAGGAGUUAUAGGUAAAUACUGCUGUCUUCUGUAAUUUGGGUGAACAACUGAGGCACAUUCAGUGAAGUCCAUGUGGCUCAUGCCUAUAAUCCCAGCACUUUGGGAGGGUCCAGUGGCUCAUGCCUAUAAUCCCAGCACUCUGGGAAGCCAAAGCAAGCAGAUCAUCUGAGGUCAAGAGUUCGAGACCCACCCAGCCAACAUGGUGAAACCCUGUCUCUACUAAAAAUACAAAGAUGAUCUGAGCUUAUUGGCAUGCACUUGUAAUCCCAGCUACUUGGGAAGCUGAGGUAGGAGAAUUGCUUGAACCUGGGAGACGGAGGUUGCAGUGAGCUGAUAUUGUGCCACUGCACUCCAGCCUGCCUGGGUGACAGAGCAAGAGUCCCUCUCAAAAAGAGAAGAUCUCUUAAAGAUUGUGUCCGAGUCACCCAUAGCAGUAAUGACCACUGGAACAGGCUUUCCUCCUUCACUGUUGUAUUCUUCCCAAUUGUUCAAUCCUGUUUCUCAGGAUCUACCUAAUACAAACUACCUACACUUAUGCUAUUGUCUCGGGUUGACUGGGGUGGGAGUGUGGGGGGUCAACCAAGUUAAGACAUUCCCUUAGACUCUUUAUCUUUCUGCUUAGUACUUAUCAUCCCUGAUGUGUUUUAUAUUAAUUUAUGUUUAUUUUUCUCCCUUACAUAGAAUAUAAACAGCACAAGAGCUGAGACUUCAUUUCUUUCAAUGGGGUAUUACCAAUGCUUUGAAUAAUGCCUGGUACAUAGUGAACACUCAGAGGAAAUGGAAGCCUAGAGAAGUUAACGAACUGGCCAAAGAUCACCCAGCUAAGAAAUGACAGAGGGGAAUGGAAUGUAGCCUUCGGCCAUCUGAUUCAAAGACAACACUUCCUAACCAUUGGGUACCAAAGAGUUUUUAAAUGACUGCUGUGUGGCAACGUGAAGAAUGAUUUAGAGAGAACCAAAAAUGGACAGUCAUUGGAAGGAUUCCUUAUGAGUGACACAUGGAACAUGAAAGGAGAGACAGGAUUUUUAUUACUUAAAAUUGGACCCUGGUAAUGAACUGAAAAACUUUCAAAUGCAAUUUGGCUUGUGUCAAAAGUCCUCUGAUUUUACUAAUGUCCGUAGAGCAGGGCUUUAGAUUUCAUAGCCAACAGCCCCAAGAGCCUUCAAAAGCAUGGCAGGCACGACUUCCUUGUGGGUUUGGGUUGCUUUGUAAGGCUGAGGGGCAUGUAUUGUGCUGCAGAGGCUUCCAUAACAUAGGACCUCCCUUUGUAAAACACUUCUCCUUGAGAGUUAAUUCUGAUUUAUAUUUCAAAGUGGGGCUAGGGUGUUUUGUUGAAGACUCCUUUCAAUAUAAACAGCAAAUGUAACUUCUGAGACUUCUUGGAAUAGUUUAGCUAUGGUUACUGUUGUUUUGACUAGGCAUACAAAUAUCCUACCAAAGUGAAAACAGGUUUUAAAAAAUCCAGCAGAUCACUUAAAAGACUAUAACAGAGGAUGUGUCUCUGCUCCAGGUGGGGAUAGACUCUCCCAGAGAGCAAUCAGAUGCUUAUGCCCAGGGGUGGCUCAUGUGGGGUCUUUAGAGAACUAGCUUAGAUUAUCUAUGUAGCUUGGGUCCCUUGGGCUGCUUUUGGAACAGCCCUGCAGAGGAGGGUGGGGACUAUUGGGUCAUAAUGUCUGUUCUCCUCUGGUAGAAUAUAUGAAAGGAAAGGGCAAAGGGUCAAGUCAUUUCUAAAGUCCUGGAUCCUCUUUUGUUUUUUCCUUUGGCCCUUUUAUGUGUUAAACCUCUUCAGGUCAAACAAUCUUUAAUUUCAUACAAAGUAAGCAGAAAUCUGUGAUUAACAUGAAAAUGAAGUAUCCAUUGACUAACAUCAGAGCAGCAAUUUCAUGAUUUUUAAUUGGCCAUCAUCUCUUAUCAUUGCUACAAGAGGAGGAAAAAAAGCCUUCUUUUCCAGGCACUUGAAUAAGUAAAUAUGACAAGGAGUUAAAUAAUGAAGACAAAAACAACUCAUCCCACAUAUCCUUGGAGAUACAGAAACAGGAAACUAAUUCUCCUUCUAAUUCUCCCUAGCUGAGAAGAACAAUUGAAAUGUAUUCUAUUAAUGGAAAUCACAAGGGGAAAUACAUAGAAAGUUGAAUGGGAGCUAUGUAUUUAAUUUUAAAUAUGUCUGGAAUUUUUUCUUAUAGCUCAAACUCCAUGUAGUCUUUUUUUUUCCCACUAACCUUAACAUUUGACCAAGUUCCUUUAUUCAUUUUGCUACUUAGAUAGAAUUCAUUAAGUUCAGAUUCUUCAUUGAACUAUGGUUCAUGUACUUGAGUUAUCACAUAAAGGACUUUUCAUUGUUUUGAUAUUUUGCACAUUGUAUUUGUGCUUAUCCAAAUUGAUUGAUUAAAUAAAGAGGGUUUAGGAACAAUUACCAAGGAUUUCAGUGAUGCUGAGUUGCAUCAUUAGAAAUUGAGGAUCUUAGGAACUGAUUCUGCCAGUUUUAAAAAGCUAGGUGAAGCAACUCACAGACCACUGCAAAGGCCAACGAUUCCCUGAUUUGAGGUUUAAAGCUAAAUUAUUAAAACAAAUAUGGAAAGAGAGAGACUUCCAGUAUGAACACGGCUGGGUAAGUCAGCAUCUUUUUCCUUUUCCUCCUAGAGGUUAUAUGAAAGCUAACAAGGAGGAAGGAGCAAAACCAUAAACUCUGUUUUCAGUAAAACUAGUAUAUAGUUAUUAUCCACUUACUUCAAAAUAUACAUAAGAAUGCCAAAACAAGCUUAGACUGGGCAUAGCCAAAUAGAAAUGCAGAGAAAACCACAAAGAUGACUAAAUGUCUCAGAGCCAAGAAAAAUAUACUUCCUGAAGAUUAGAAGUCUUACCCUGAUGUGCAGACCUAUAUAGAUCAUUUGGAUCAAUGGGAGUAAAAACUGGGGUUAACAGGGAAGCUUGAGGAAGUCUCUCUGGAUGCAGUUUGGCGCAGAGAAGGAAAUAAUAGAAGACCACACAAUAAUGUAGAAGAACUAUGUAGAAAAGCCAUUUUAGCAUUAAGCACUGUGUCUGCAUGAUAGAGAAGAAGGAAAUAUUUAGGUUGUGAAGCCUGGAAGGCUGCACUACCCCUACAGACACACAUGUACAUUCACAUGCUCAUGCUCAUACACAAACCUUCAGCAAAAUCCAGUCCAAGAAAAAUGUGUUUAUAUGAGUUAUAAGAAAAAGUCACUACAAAAACAUUGAAUCAAAGAUAGUAUAUAAUUAAAAGUAUGAGGAAAAUCAGAAAACUUAAGACUAAGAAUAUUCACUGAAAAUUUUAACUGUGCAGCAACUAAAAAUUACAACCAAAUAUUUUACUAUGAAUUGAAAAGAAGAAUUUAAGAAGGUAUUCACUUUAAUGAAAAAAGAUUACAAUGUAGAAAUAUAGAAAUUGAAAGAGCAAUAUAACAAGAGAUGAAAUUAAAGUAGCAGAAUUCAGGAAAGAAAUAUAAAAAAAUGAAAAUAUCACAGAAAUAAAAAUGAAAUCAGAAUACAAGGGAGCCUGGGUGUGGUGGUUCACACCAGUAAUCCCAGCACUUUGGGAGGCUGAGGCGGGUGGAUCACUUGUGCCCAGGAGGUGGAUGCUGCAGUGAGCUGUGAUCAUACCACUGCACUCCAACCUGGGUGACACAGGGAGACCCUGUAUCAAACACAAACAAACAAACACAAAACCACAAUGGAGAAGUGAUACUAAAAAAGCUACAAUAAGUAAUACAGAGAAUAUAUAAAAAGUAAACAAUAUAAAAUAGAAAUAAACAGAUAAAAAGAUUAUACACACACACAAGGAUAACUAGAGAAGACAGACAAGGUGAUCCAAUUUGUACACAAUUGGAGUCUCUAAGAAGGAUUUAAACAAAUAAUUUAAGGUACAUUCAAAAACAUGAUUCAAGUAAAAGAAAAUUUGAAAAAAUAAGUAUACCCUUAUAUAUACACACACAUAUAUAUGAAGGGCAUACUAUGUGCUAAAAAAAGAUGUCUGUUAAUGUUGAACACUGAGACAUGAAAUAAGACAAAUGGACCCCACAUAGUAAAAGGUUCUUAAAUUCUAAUAAAAUCUACUAUAAUUGAUAAAACUAAGACAAAAUAAAAUUACAAUAGCAACAAAUAUAAAGGACCCAACAAAUAUAAAGGAACCUACAAGGUAUGGUUCAGAAAGUUUGAAAAUAUAAAAAGAUAAAUAAAGGAGAAUUGGGCACAUUUAAGCACACCAUCAAUCAAAAAGGAGACGUUAUAAUCUUAAUAGCAAGCAAGGUGGAAUAUGAUAUGGUUGCAUGAGUGCUAAAUAAUAAAUAAGCCUGGUUGUUCAUUAUAGUAUUAUUUACAGUAGCAGAAGAUUGGAAACAGACCUAUGUCCAUUAACAGGGGAUCAGUUAAAUAAAUAAUAAUUACUAGAUAUGGUUUGGCUCUUUGUCCCAUCCAAAUCUCAUGUUGAAUUAUAAUCCCCAGUGGAGGUGGGGCUUGGUGGGAGGUGACUGGAUCAUGGGGGCAGUUUCUAAUGGUAUAGCACCAUCCCCCUAGUGCUGUCUCAUGAUAGAGUUCUUGCAAGACCUGGUUGUUUAUAAGUGUGUAGCAUUAGCUGGGCAUGGUGGUAUAUACCUGUGGUACCAGCUACUCAGGAGGCUGAGGCAUGGGGAAAUAUAUAUAUGAAUAAAGAAAUCUGGCAGGUGAGGGCUACAGUGAGCCAAGAUUUUGCCACUACACUCUAGCCUGGAUGACAGAGUGAGACCUGUCUCAAAAAAAAAAAAAAAAAAAAAAAAAAAAGUAGCACCUCCCCCUUCUUUCUCUUCCUCCUGCUCCCACCAUGUAAGACGUGUUUGCUUCCCUUCCACCAUAAUUGCAAGUUACCUGAGGCCUCCCCUGCUAUGCUUCCUUUACAGUCUGCAGAACCAGAAGCCAAUUAAAAUUUCUUUCUUUCUUUAUAAACUACCUAGUUGCAUGUAGUUCUUUAUAGCAGUGGAAGAAUGGACUAAUACGCCUAGUUUGGAAUACUAUGCCAUAAAUCAAAAAUAAUUUUAAAAAAUCAUUCUAUAUGCGGGCUGGGUGUGGUGACUAAUGCUUGUAAUCCCAGCACUUUGGGAGGCCAAGCCAGGUGGAUCACCUGAGGUCAGGAGUUUAAGACCAGCCUGGCCAACAUGGCGAAACCCUGUCUCUGCUAAACAUACAAAAAUUAGCCAGGUGUGGUGGCAUGUACCUGUAAUGUCACUCAGGAGGCUGAGGCAGGAGAAUCACUUAAAUCCAGGAGGCGAAGGUUGCAGUGAGCCAAGAUCACACCACCACACUCCAGCCUGGGCAGCAGAGUAAGACUCAGUCUCAAAAAAAGAAGUAACAUUCUGUUUGCUGACACAAGAAAAAAAAAUUCCUCCCCAGCAUAAUAAGCAAUGUGAAAGGAGCAAGGGCAGAGUAGUAAAUAGUACUUUUUGUCUAAAGAGGUUGAGAGGGGAAAUGUAUAUAUGAAUAAAGGAACUAUAAACUAUAAAAAGUGCGUAAUAAAUCAGUUACAGAGGUAGGUGGGAUGCAAGGAAGACCAUUUGCUUUUUGCUUUUUAAUUUUGUAAUUAACCACGUGAAUAUGUUCUCCAUAUAAAAGUUAAUUUACAAUAUGAUAAAAAUAAAGGGGAGAUUAUUAUAGCAUUGCCAAGUUUAUAUUUUUUCCACAUAGUGACAUUUUAAAAACCCUACCAUCUAUUAUAACUUUUAAAUCACAAAAGAAAAGAAAGGGCAUCUUGAAAGAAAUAAGCAAAAGUAAGAAAGAAUGACAAUUUUUGAAGAAUUUUCUCUUAAAUUGAUACAAUACUGCCUUUUCCUCAUUUCACUGUAGACUACACUUCAUCACUACCUGGUCCUGGCCCAGAAAGGAGCACAUUGAAACCAUCAGGAGAGAUAGAGGACAUGAGGGAGCUUGUGAUCCUGGAGUAGAUACAAGACUUCCUCUGGAACCUAGUGGGAAGGACACUCUCAUAAUGAGAUUCCAUAAUUCUUAUGCCUUAAUACUGAUAUAUCAAUAUCUAUGUAAUUAUGUACACCUUUACCAAAUACUGAAAUAUUUAGAACAGUGAAAAAAGACUUAAAAAUGUUAAAACAAAGGUUUUUAAAAAUAAUAGAAUCAAGGUCCAAAAGCUAACCCCUCACAUGGAGGCUGAGGUUCUCUGUGAGUAGGAAAGUGAUGGAUGCUACUGUCCAGGGUAAGCAAUCUUGGCUGCUGUCAGCUGUAAGUUGCCCUGCUAGCCCUGGGCUGUGGAGCAGUGCAUGGGGUCCAUAUGAGGGCCAGUGAAGAACAUUUUCUUUCAUCUGGUUGCUACCUCUGGACUCUCCUAUUUUAUUUCCCUGUCCCCACAGGUAGUUUUCCGAUUGAGAGACCAAAAGGUAAGAAUUCAGUUUCCCUAUCCCCUGCAGUUAGAUAGAAAUGAUUAGAGAAAAUACAUGUAAUUAGAGCACAGAAUAUUUUUCUUAGUUUUUAUAAGGCACACUUACACACACUACUGUGCAAUACCAAUGCCUAACAUGCCAUAAUAUAAUAAGUAAACUGAGGCUGAAGAGCUGGAUUGGUAUUCAAUGCCAACAAUAAUAACAACAGCUAACAUCUGCAAAGCCCUGGCUAUACCAGGUGUAGGUUAAGCUCUUCGUAUGUGUAACAUUACUGAAUCUGUACAUCUCUGUGAGAUAGGUACUACUACUAUACCAUUUUCCUAUGAGAUCGGAUCCCUGAAGCUUGAGGAAGUUGAAACCACUCCUUCUAGAUUAUGUGACUAGCAGAAAACACUUUCCCCUUGCCUCCUAUGCACAGAGACACCAUGAGAGCAGUGGAAAUAGGCCUGAAUUAAAAGUUAAGAGAACCAGCUGGGCACAGUGGCUCAUGCCUGUAAUCCCAGCACUUUGGGAGGCCAAAGCAGGCAGAUCGCCUGAGGUCAGGAGUUCAAGUCCAGCCUGGCCAACAUGGUGAAACAUUGUCUAUACUAAAAAUACAAAAAUUAGCCAGGCAUGGUGGCAGGCACCUGCAAUCCCAGCUACUCAGGAGGCUGAUGCAGGAGAAUUGCUUGAACCCAGGAGGUGGAGGUUGCAGUGAGCCAAUAUUGCACCACUGCUCUCCAGCCUCAGCGACAGAGCAAAAUUUCAUCUCAAAAAACAAAAUAAACAAAAAAGUCAAGAGAACCAAAUUUGGUUUAUGGUUCUACCUCCUAGGUAAAUCAUUUCAUUUUUCCAGGUCUGCUUAUUCCCCUUUAAAAGAAUAGAAAUAGAAUCUCUAACAUGAUCGCAGUGUCAUAGACACUCACAGUCCCCAGCUGGUGCUUCCUGAGCUGUGCAACCCACAAGCCCACCCUGGUUCCUCCACCAGAGCACAGAGGGAUGAGAGUGUUCUUGGGAAUGCUCUAAGGAUAUAUACUAUGGGGUGUCAAUCAUCCUUCUCCAAUAAGGAAGAAAUGACAACGAUGUAACUUAGCACAUGUUCCCAGAGGUUAAGAAUAUACUUACACAAAAACUUGUGUGGUGCCUACUUCUGGUCCAAAGAUUUUUAUAGAUAGUAGCUCACUGGAGUAUGUCAUGCCAGAAACACUGAGACAGUGAUGUAGUGAACCCUGAAAGAAGAUGAGCUCUGCUAGUCCUGUCAUGUUCUCCAUAGCCCUCAGGUGAUGCAGAGGUUUCCAGUGGCUCCUAGGACUCAGCAGGAAGACGGACAGGGAGCUAGGCACUAUGGGGCUGCAAAGUGGCUGCAGGGAAAUAGAAUGUGGUUGGCAGUAUCCCACUGCUGGGGCCAAGAGGAAACAUGACUGCCUCCCUGAUGGGGGGUGCCAGUGAUUGAAAAGUCAGGGUGAGGCCGGGCUCAGUGGCUCACGCCUGUAAUCCCAGCACUUUGGGAGGCCGAGGUGGGUGGAUCACGAGGUCAAGAGAUCGAGACCAUCAACAUGGUGAAACCCCGUCUCUACUAAAAAUACAAAAAAUUAGCUGGGCAUGGUGGCGCGUGCCUGUAAUCCCAGCUACUCAGGAGGCUGAGGCAGGAGAAUUGCCUGAACCCAGGAGGCGGAGGUUGAGGUGAGCCGAGAUCACGCCAUUGCACUACAGCCUGGAGCGAAACUCCGUCUCAAAAAAAAAAAAAAAAAAAAGAAAAAAAAAGAAAAGUCAGGGUGAGCGCAAACAUCACACACACACACACACAACAGAAAUCACUGCAUCAGCAUAGCCAUCAGUAUCAGUCUCCACCAGAGUGAGAUUUGAGGCAGUGCCCCGUAACAACGAGAGGAGCUGUACAGGACAAUGUCUAAGAAAACAUCUAUGUUGAGGUAUGUUCUUUCCAUUCCCAGUUUUUUUAGUUUUUUUUUUUUUUUUUAAAUCAUGAAGGAAUGUUGAAUUUCAUCAAAUGCUUUUUCAGCAUCAAUUGAAAUGAUUAUGAUUUUUGUUCUUCAUUUUGUUGAAAUGAUGCAUCACAUUGAUUGAUUUCUGUUUGUUGAACCAUUUUCGCAUCCCAGAGAUAAAUCCUACUUGGUCAUGAUGAAUGAUCUUUCUAAUGUAUUGUUGAAAACAGAUCCCCAGUAUUUUGUUGAGGAUUUUUGCAUCAAUAUUCAUCAGAGAUAUUGACCCGUAGUUUCCGUUUGUUGAUAUGUCUUUGUCCUGUUUGUAUAUCAGAGUAAUAUCGGCCUCAUAGAAUGAAUUUUGAAG